GUGGGGAAUAUUGGACAAUGGGCGAAAGCCUGAUCCAGCCAUGCCGCGUGUGUGAAGAAGGUCUUCGGAUUGUAAAGCACUUUAAGUUGGGAGGAAGGGUAGUAACCUAAUACGUUGCUACUUUGACGUUACCGACAGAAUACGCACCGGCUAACUUCGUGCCAGCAGCCGCGGUAAUACGAAGGGUGCAAGCGUUAAUCGGAAUUACUGGGCGUAAAGCGCGCGUAGGUGGUUCAGUAAGUUGGAAGUGAAAUCCCCGGGCUCAGCCUGGGAACUGCUUUCAAAACUGCUGAGAUAGAGUACGGUAGAGGGUGGUGGAAUUUCCUGUGUAGCGGUGAAAUGCGUAGAUAUAGGAAGGAACACCAGUGGCGAAGGCGACCACCUGGACUGGUACUGACGCUGGGGUGCGAAAGCGUGGGGAGCAAACAGGAUUAGAUACCCCAGUAGUCC
RNAcentral lists this ribosomal RNA (450 nucleotides) under uncultured bacterium. RNAcentral describes it as "partial 16S ribosomal RNA". It matches the Rfam family "Bacterial small subunit ribosomal RNA", at positions 354 to 796 of the family's 1533-position model. The record is from RNAcentral.